Pogoniulus pusillus (Red-fronted tinkerbird) is the source of this 812-nucleotide long non-coding RNA. RefSeq lists it as uncharacterized. The record is from RefSeq and is a predicted model, not a curated record. NCBI's taxonomy places the organism in Eukaryota, Metazoa, Chordata, Aves, Piciformes, Lybiidae. The transcript is spliced from 3 exons.
UGCCCACUUGGGCAGAGGGAUGCUCCUCCUCUCACCGCAGGGUCCCUCUGCUUGAGCUUAGACAUCCUGCUUUUGCUAAGAGUGUGCCAGGGAUGUCUUGCAGGGGCUGAGAGUGGAAAGGAGCUAAAGGUAAGUCUAAAAGGGCUGUGAUACCUGAAGCUGAUUGUCCUGGAGAGAACUGGAACCUAGGAGGCUCUGCCUGAACGUGAGGAAACACUUCUUUGCUGUGAGUGGAAAGGGGCUAAAGGUGACUUGAGAAAGUUUCUCCUUCAGGUUUUCUCCUGCAGUCAGAAUCAUAAAGGUUGGAAAAGACCUCAAAGAUCAUAAAGUCCAACCAUCAAUCGCUGGAAACCACAGAGGGCUCUGAGCUAGGAGGAGCUGGCGGGGCCAUGCCUUGCUUUGUUGAGCAGUGAGCGUGCCACCAAACCCUCUCCAGGAAACAGCAAUUGUAACUGAGCCUUCCAGCAAAAUUUCACAGGGCUUUCCUCCCCAGCAGGAUAAAAUUAGCCAAGCUCUCUCGAAAUGACAGCUAAGAACUCCAGCUUCCCUCAGAUGACCUCAAUGGAGUCAUUUGUUGCUUAAAUGACAGACAAAUGCAGUAAUUAGGUCUAUUUAGUAAAGGGGAGGUGAAAGGUCAAACUACUGGGCAAACUGUCUCCACUGCUUGACUUGGUGACCAAGCUGGAGAUUUGCAGGAGGCAAUGUUUGUACAACAACCUGACACGGGCAGCAGGUCCCUGCUCGGCGGCAGGGCUCCCGGUUGUGUUGCAGCCUGAAAUCCCCUGUUUCUCCUAAUAAAACCCUGAACUCAC